This 505-nucleotide ribosomal RNA is filed under the name fungal sp. P1S14. Its description in RNAcentral is "eukaryotic LSU rRNA". The stretch from base 132 to 285 matches the Rfam family "5.8S ribosomal RNA". Lineage: Eukaryota; Fungi. The record is from RNAcentral.
UGCCCUGCCUGUCCUAAUAUCUACCCAUGUUUUUUGCGUACUAUUCGUUUCCUCGGCGGGCUUGCCCGCCAGUAGGACACCAUAAAACCUUUUGUAAUUGCAGUCAGCGUCAGAAAAACUUUAAUAGUUACAACUUUCAACAACGGAUCUCUUGGUUCUGGCAUCGAUGAAGAACGCAGCGAAAUGCGAUAAGUAGUGUGAAUUGCAGAAUUCAGUGAAUCAUCGAAUCUUUGAACGCACAUUGCGCCCCUUGGUAUUCCAUGGGGCAUGCCUGUUCGAGCGUCAUUUGUACCCUCAAGCUCUGCUUGGUGUUGGGCGUUUGUCCCCUUUACAAGGACUCGCCUCAAAAAUAUUGGCAGCCGGCAUACUGGUCUCGGAGCGCAGCACAUUUUGCGCCCCAUUUCCUGAAUACUGGCGUCCAUGAAGCCCAUAUAUUUUAACUCUUGACCUCGGAUCAGGUAGGGAUACCCGCUGAACUUAAGCAUAUCAAUAAGCGGAGACCAAA